GACAGAGGGGGCAAGCGUUGUCCGGAAUCACUGGGCGUAAAGGGCGCGUAGGCGGCCUAGCAAGUCUGGUGUGAAAGCCCAGGGCUCAACCCUGGAAGGGCACUGGAAACUGUUAGGCUUGAGUUCCGGAGAGGAGGGGGGAAUUCCCGGUGUAGCGGUGAAAUGCGUAGAUAUCGGGAGGAAUACCGGUGGCGAAGGCGCCCCUCUGGACGGAAACUGACGCUGAGGCGCGAAAGCGUGGGGAGCAAACAGG
This 253-nucleotide ribosomal RNA is filed under the name uncultured bacterium. Its description in RNAcentral is "partial 16S ribosomal RNA". It matches the Rfam family "Bacterial small subunit ribosomal RNA", at positions 524 to 776 of the family's 1533-position model. The record is from RNAcentral.